Long non-coding RNA from Lolium rigidum, 602 nucleotides. RefSeq lists it as uncharacterized. The record is from RefSeq and is a predicted model, not a curated record. NCBI's taxonomy places the organism in Eukaryota, Viridiplantae, Streptophyta, Magnoliopsida, Poales, Poaceae. The transcript has 2 exons.
GUUUCGUUCGUCUGCCUGGCUGCAUCGGUGGGCUUGCUGGUGCAAGAUGCCCUGACUGACAAGGGCCCUUCCGUGUGGACUGGUGUCGCUGGCGUUCUGCAGUGUGUUUUCGUGUUGAUAAGUGGCUUGACUUACUGGACGUGCCACUCUUCUGACGAUUAAGUGGUCAAAUAUGUUCUGAGAAGACUUGGAAGGUUGGUCAAAAUCUAUGUGGGUUAAGGAUCAAAAUGUUCCGAGCAGACUUGGAAGGUCGGUCAACAUCUUUUGAAGACGUCUUGUCUACCAGUGUGUGGUUCUGUGUAAAUUAUGUCCACUUCGUGGCGGGAAAGACUGGGUGCUUACUGUGUGAAUAACUGACUGCUUCCUGAAAUGAUCUGUAGCAUCAGUACUCUACGUGUUUAUCCUAAUUUGUUCUGAGCUCCUGCUGCUUGCCUUGGGGUUAGAAUAUAUAAAUUGGAGCAUGAGCUGCCUGCAGCAAAUCGUUAUUGUCAAAUCUCUUGAGUGUGGAAGUUGGGUUGACUCCAUUGUUAAAGCAGAUGGGCGGUUGCUCGCAGAUUCUUUCUUGGUGAUCGUAAGACAUAAUGUCACUUGGUUCUUUUCGG